RNAcentral lists this ribosomal RNA (352 nucleotides) under uncultured bacterium. RNAcentral describes it as "bacterial SSU rRNA". It matches the Rfam family "Bacterial small subunit ribosomal RNA", at positions 29 to 363 of the family's 1533-position model. The record is from RNAcentral.
AACGAACGCUGGCGGCGUGGAUUAGGCAUGCAAGUCGAACGCGAAAGAGGGGGUAACUCCUCGAGUAGAGUGGUGAACGGGUGAGUAACACGUGAGAAACCUGCCUUCAGCAGGGGGAUAACACUCCCAACGGGGUGCUAAUACCGCAUGAGACCACGGAUUCGCAUGGAUCUGGGGUCAAAGGUGGCCUCUGCUUGCAAGCUACCGGCUGAAGAUGGUCUCGCGCCCAUUAGCUAGUUGGUGGGGUAAUGGCCCACCAAGGCGACGAUGGGUAGCUGGUCUGAGAGGAUGGUCAGCCACACUGGGACUGAGAUACGGCCCAGACUCCUACGGGAGGCAGCAGUCGAGAGGC